RNAcentral lists this long non-coding RNA (271 nucleotides) under Lathyrus oleraceus (garden pea). RNAcentral's name for it is "Pisum sativum (pea) long non-coding RNA (PSAT_LNC021500)". Lineage: Eukaryota; Viridiplantae; Streptophyta; Magnoliopsida; Fabales; Fabaceae. The record is from RNAcentral.
AACAACUCUAAGCAUGGCUCACACAGGAAGCAAGCCACACAGACUUGACUUGCACAGGAAGCAAGUCAAGCACAACCUACCUUGCACAAGGGCAAGUCCAAACUACACCUAAAGAGGCAAAGCAAACAGGCAAUCACAGGAAGCACACUCUAUAUGCAUACAAGAGGCUCACACAAGGGUUAGGCACUAGGGCCAACUGGAAUAGGGUAAGUGUGCUCUUAACCUUGCCAUUGAGAGGCUAAGGUGAAGCAGAUGAAAGGAUGAAGUGAGG